AUAUGAUUGCAUUGCAUGUACUAACGGAUGCGAUCAUACAAGCACUAAUGCACCGGAUCCCAUCAGAACUCCGCAGUUAAUAUGCUUGGGCGUGAGGAGUACUAUGACGAGUGACCUCUCGGGAAGUCCACGUGUUGCAUCCCUCCUUUUUUUUGGUUAAAACUUUUGGACUUUAUAACUUUUAAACCGUGAGGCCAAACUUGGCAUGUGAUAGCUUUUCGGAAAGUCCGAUGAGAGCCCUCCGGCGAAAGAAGCAAGACAAUACCUAUGUUUUU
RNAcentral lists this small RNA (275 nucleotides) under Arabidopsis thaliana (thale cress). The record is from RNAcentral. Lineage: Eukaryota; Viridiplantae; Streptophyta; Magnoliopsida; Brassicales; Brassicaceae.